ACCAAUAAGAUUUGAAUUCCGAAAGAGACUAACUUUAUUAUCCCCAAAUGUACAUUUAUAACUGGAUAUGUCCAAUUGGGGAACCGAAAUUAAGUUCCGUCUAAAAGAUGGUACAAUAAAAGUCUCAUUCAAAUCUAAAUGAAAACCGGUCUUAAACAACAGUCUAAAUUUGCCAAUAGCUUCAACUGGCACCUUCUUGC
Molecule: long non-coding RNA, 200 nt
Filed under: Nicotiana benthamiana
Lineage: Eukaryota; Viridiplantae; Streptophyta; Magnoliopsida; Solanales; Solanaceae
Description: long non-coding RNA (NBEN_LNC000138)
Source: RNAcentral